CUACGGGAGGCAGCAGUGGGGAAUAUUGCACAAUGGGCGCAAGCCUGAUGCAGCCAUGCCGCGUGUAUGAAGAAGGCCUUCGGGUUGUAAAGUACUUUCAGCAGUGAGGAAGGUGGAGUCGUUAAUAGCGGCCUCAUUUGACGUUAGCUGCAGAAGAAGCACCGGCUAACUCCGUGCCAGCAGCCGCGGUAAUACGGAGGGUGCGAGCGUUAAUCGGAAUUACUGGGCGUAAAGCGCAUGCAGGUGGUUUGUUAAGUCAGAUGUGAAAGCCCGGGGCUCAACCUCGGAAUUGCAUUUGAAACUGGCAGACUAGAGUACUGUAGAGGGGGGUAGAAUUUCAGGUGUAGCGGUGAAAUGCGUAGAGAUCUGAAGGAAUACCGGUGGCGAAGGCGGCCCCCUGGACAGAUACUGACACUCAGAUGCGAAAGCGUGGGGAGCAAACAGGAUUAGAUACCCUGGUAGUCCACGCCGUAAACGAUGUCUACUUGGAGGUUGUGGCCUUGAGCCGUGGCUUUCGGAGCUAACGCGUUAAGUAGACCGCCUGGGGAGUACGGUCGCAAGAUUAAAACUCAAAUGAAUUGACGGGGGCCCGCACAAGCGGUGGAGCAUGUGGUUUAAUUCGAUGCAACGCGAAGAACCUUACCUACUCUUGACAUCCUCUGUAGCUUGUAGAGAUACGAGUGUGCCUUCGGGAACUGAGAGACAG
Molecule: ribosomal RNA, 706 nt
Filed under: Vibrio sinaloensis
Lineage: Bacteria; Pseudomonadati; Pseudomonadota; Gammaproteobacteria; Vibrionales; Vibrionaceae
Description: bacterial SSU rRNA
Rfam family: Bacterial small subunit ribosomal RNA
Source: RNAcentral